Long non-coding RNA from Gallus gallus (chicken), 913 nucleotides. RefSeq lists it as uncharacterized. The record is from RefSeq and is a predicted model, not a curated record. The transcript has 3 exons. NCBI's taxonomy places the organism in Eukaryota, Metazoa, Chordata, Aves, Galliformes, Phasianidae.
UAGGGUUAGGUUUAUAGGGUUAGGGUUAUAAGGUUAGGUUAAGGGUUAUAGGGUUAGAUUUAGGUAAGGGUUAGAUUAAUAGGGUUAGGGUUAUAAGGUUAGGUUAAGGGCUAUAGGGUUAGAUUUAGGUAAGGGUUAGAUUAAUAGGGUUAGGCCUAUAGUUUAGGGUUAGUGUAAGGGUUAUAGGGUUAGAUUAAUAGGGUUAGGGUUAUAAGGUUAGGUUAAGGGCUAUAGGGUUAGAUUUAGGUAAGGGUUAGAUUAAUAGGGUUAGGCCUAUAGGUUAGGGUUAGUGUAAGGGUUAUAGGGUUAGAUUAAUAGGGUUAGGGUUAUAAGGUUAGGUUAAGGGCUGCAGGGUUAGGUGUGAGAGGGCACCUGGAGGUGGUGCCGCCUUUAGGGGGUGUGGGGGACAGAGCUCGGCUCAGCCAUGUGAUAUCAGCAGGGGACGGCGUCGCGAUCCUCGUGGCUGCGGCCACGGCUCAGCAUGAGAGCGAAGGGCGCCGGGAGGCAGGCGUGGAUUACAUGGGAGCGACGGGAUCAAACUGCAGAGCUGCUCCGGAUCUCCAAGUCCGAUUCGGCACAGCAUCAAUGCGUGCAACUCUGGGGAGUUCUUUGGAACUGGGCUGCUCCCAAUCGGCGGCCAUUCCUACACACCGAGGCUGCGCUCCUGCUGCAGCCUCCUUCUGCUGCCUGCCUCCAUCACCCCAUGCAGCAGGGAAGGGAGAGCAGGGCUGCAAUCUCGUGCUUCAGAAGCAAAAAGGCGAGAACCAGCUAACGCACAAUUGCAAGACGCUCCGCGGAUUUAGUUCUGACAGAGCUGUUUUCACAGCCCGGUUUAGCCGAUAAGCUGCACGCUGGGCUUAACCCUCGGGGUGCUAAGAGAUGCUCUUGAUAAUAAAACCCAAAGGAGUGGGAA